Molecule: long non-coding RNA, 463 nt
Filed under: Zea mays
Lineage: Eukaryota; Viridiplantae; Streptophyta; Magnoliopsida; Poales; Poaceae
Description: long non-coding RNA (ZMAY_LNC005065)
Source: RNAcentral
UUACUUCCAGGUCAUUUUCCUACUGUUCAGUAAAUAAAUGGUCUCUUAUAUGUUCUUUAGUUAUAACUAAUGCUUUCAUAUCCAGGCAACUGCCAGGAAGCGCUCAAGGCGAUACAUGCUUGAUACUGAUGAGUAUUCAUGUCUUUGUCGUGCCCUAUGUUUCAAUUUCGCACAACCCUAUAAAAGCAUGUGUUGAUGCAAAAGAGUUGUUCUAUUGUGGAUUGAAGACAAAUGUAGGAUGUUACUGGGAAAUUGCAGACUGAACAAGGUAAGGUGAUAAUUUUCUAUUUGCAGCAGAUUUUCAUUAUUUCACUCUUUCCCGAAAUUACUACAUACAAGCGGUUGUUGAGAAGCUUUCCAAAUGUGAGUGCCUUUUUUAUGUCUUGUUACGUGUUACCGAUCUCAGCUUGUUACAAUUGCUUAUGAAUCUCUGAUAUCUUUCUGAAUCUAGGCACAAACUUAC